UCCAUUUUUUCCCACGUCGAACCCAAAUUUGUCUCUCUGUUUUAUUGAAAAAAGAAAACCAUCUCUUUCCAUCGUCUCUUCUCUCUCUCUCUCUGAUUCUCCCUCCCUUUCCCCCAACCCCCUCUAAUCCGAUCUCAUUCUCAUUGGUUUUCCUUUUGAUCAAUACUCGGGGGAGAAGAAUACGAUGGAGGUUGAGACGGCGUCUUCCCACCACAAGAGGGAUGGAUCGAUGAGCAGCGUGGCCAGCAGCGUUGCCAGCAGCCCCGAUGGCAAGAGGGAGCUGUUCGAGUUCUUCGGCUGGGUCUUUCACCUCGGCGUCAACUCAAUCGGGCACGAGUAUUGCCACCUGAGGUUCUUAUUCAUACGCGGCAAGUAUGUCGAGAUGUAUAAGCGCGACCCCCAUGAGAAUCCCGGCAUUAGACCGAUUAGGAGGGGUGUCAUAGGUCCCUCGCUUAUGGUAGAGGAGCUAGGACGUCGGAAGGUCAAUGAUGGGGAUGUAUACGUCAUUCGAUUUUAUAGUCGGCUGGAUGAGACAAAGAAAGGAGAAAUUGCAUGUGCUACAGCUGGGGAAGCUCAAAAGUGGAUGGAAGCUUUUGACCUCGCCAAGCAACAGGCUGUCUACGAGCUUUCAAGGGGUGGUAGUGCCAGAGACAAAUUGAAUGUGGAGACAGAGAUCAACCUAGCUGGGCAUCGGCCUAGAGUGAGGCGUUAUGCCCAUGAGUUAAAGAGACUCAUCAGAAUUGGGCAAGGUCCAGAGACUCUCUUGCGGCGUUCCUCCACUUUAGGUAAUGGUUAUUUUCAGAGCAAUGCAGGAGAUGUGAUUGAAGCCAAUGACUGGAAAUGUGUCCGUACCAUUAAUGGAACCAGAAUCCUUGAGGAUGUUUCUGAUUCAAAGGCUGGAAAAAGUGCGCUUGUGAAGGCUGUUGCAGUGAUUGAGGCCAGUGCAGAUACUAUUUUUGAAAUGAUACUGAACCUCGAGCGGCAUCAUAGAUAUGAGUGGGACACUUUCAGUGGUGAUUUGGAGCUCAUAGAUUCUUAUGAUGGUCACUACGAUGUUGUGUACGGGACAUUUGAUCCAAAAUAUCUUACUAGAUGGACUUCAAAAAAAGAUUUCAUCUUCUCAAGGCAGUGGUUUCGUGCACAGGAUGGGACGUACACAAUAAUGCAACUUCCGGCAAUACACAAGAAAAGGCCUCCAAGAUCAGGAUAUAAGCGCAUCACAGUUAACCCCUCCACAUGGGAGAUUAGGGCUAUAAACACGCCAAUGGGCAUGAAUACAGCCAAAUGUCUGGUGACACAUAUGUUGGAAAUAAAUUCAGUUGGGUGGUGUAGAUGGAAGAAUGAUCAUUGCUCAAAGUUUGAGAAGACUGUACCUUAUGCCUUGCUGUGCCAAGUCUCUGGCCUGAAGGAGUAUGUUGAAGCUAACCCUGUACUCAAGUCAGAAGCUGCUGCGGCCUUCUCCCAAGUAAAAGUCUCAGAUUUGUCGAGUUCUAACAGUGACUAUGAGGAUAUAAAUGGAGAGGAUGAGUUCUAUGAUGCCGUGUCUGCUGACUCUUCAUCAUCAGAAGGAAGUGAUGAUGAAGAAACUGACGAGAAGGUUAAGAAGGUGAGACUGAAGAAUGUGUCGUGGGCUAUAGCAGGCUUGGCUUUGAAGAAGUUAUCAGGAACAGAUGCACGUAACGAACUCGACCGAUGUGUAGCUCCCAUCAGCAUUGAUCUGAGCAACUUCCGUGGUUCCUUAGCCAGAGGGAAGGAUGAUUCUGACAAAGACUGCUGGAGUUCUCCUAGUGGUGAUGGAUUCGCGAUACGAGGAAAAGAUUACUUAAGAGAUAACACGAAGGUGAAGGGAAGCAACCCUCUUCUUCAACUGAUUGCGGUUGACUGGUUGAAAGUGGAUGGGAAACUCGAUAAUGUUGCGCUGCAUCCUAAAUGUCUUGUACAGCUGGUUAUGGUUCCUAAUAUCUGUUAUUGUCCUUACAGUCCGAAGCUGGGAAAAAGCUUCCUUUCAUUCUUGUCAUCAACCUUCAGGUUCCAGCAAAACCAAACUACAGUUUGGUCUGUUAUUUUGCUGCUGAUAGGCCCGUAAGUAAGAAAUCGUUGUUGGCUAAAUUUGUCAACGGAACAGACGCAUUUCGGGAUGCAAGAUUCAAAUUGAUACCUAGUAUAAUCGAGGGAUAUUGGAUGGUGAAGCGAGCGGUUGGAACGAAAGCUUGCCUCCUCGGGAAAGCUGUAACCUGCAAUUACCUUAGACAGGACAACUUUCUGGAGAUCGAUGUGGAUAUCGGAUCAUCUUCGGUAGCGAGGAGCGUCAUCGGUCUUGUACUUGGAUACGUGACGAGUAUAGUUGUUGAUCUUGCAAUUCUUAUAGAGGCAAAGGAAGAGACUGAAUUACCUGAGUACAUUCUUGGAACUGUCCGGCUAAACCGUUUGAAGCCUGAGUCCGCUGUACAGUUUGGAGUUUGAGGAUACCUGCACAUCAAAAUUCUUUCUAUCCACUAGAGAGCUAACUUCCCCGACAGAACAAGUUUUAAUCAGUGUUACCGUCGUCAAAUACGAGUUGCUCGCACCUAUUCUUCCUAGGAUCUUUGGAGGAGACUGCACUCUCAUUUACAUCGGGAGCAAUUUGCUUUUGUUAUGAUGACUAAAGAUUGAUUGGAUAUUGAAGACAGAUAUGAGAUAUAAUUGUUCAGCCUGAGAGAUCUACAUGAGAUUGUUAUAUAUAUGUAUGGCGUGUGGCUGCUUCUCCAGUGGAUUUACAUUUUACCACAUUAA
Non-coding RNA from Punica granatum (pomegranate), 2772 nucleotides. Lineage: Eukaryota; Viridiplantae; Streptophyta; Magnoliopsida; Myrtales; Lythraceae. The record is from RefSeq and is a predicted model, not a curated record.